AUACGGAGGAUGCAAGCGUUAUCCGGAUUCAUUGGGUUUAAAGGGUGCGUAGGCGGUUAUUUAAGUCAGUGGUGAAAUCCUGUCGCUCAACGAUAGAACUGCCAUUGAUACUGAAAAACUUGAGUACAGUUGAGGUAAGCGGAAUGUGUAGUGUAGCGGUGAAAUGCUUAGAUAUUACACAGAACACCGAUUGCGAAGGCAGCUUACUAAACUGCAACUGACGCUGAUGCACGAAAGCGUGGGGAUC
RNAcentral lists this ribosomal RNA (247 nucleotides) under uncultured bacterium. Its description in RNAcentral is "partial 16S ribosomal RNA". It matches the Rfam family "Bacterial small subunit ribosomal RNA", at positions 523 to 769 of the family's 1533-position model. The record is from RNAcentral.